GUACGGCGAGUGAAGAGGAAGAGCUCAAAGUUGGAACCUGUUUGGCCUAGCUAAACCGGAUUGUAGACUGUAGAAGUGUUUUCCAGGCAAGCCGAGUAAAUAAGUCCUUUGGAACAGGGCAUCAUAGAGGGUGAGAAUCCCGUCUUUGGCUUGAGCAUUUGCCUUUUGUGAUACGCUUUCAAAGAGUCAGGUUGUUUGGGAAUGCAGCCUAAAUUGGGUGGUAAAUCUCACCUAAAGCUAAAUAUUGGCGAGAAACCGAUAGCGAACAAGUACCGUGAGGGAAAGAUGAAAAGAACUUUGAAAAGAGAGUUAAACAGUAUGUGAAAUUGUUAAAAGGGAACCGUUUGGAGCCAGACUGGCUUGUCUGUAAUCAAUCUAGGCUUCGGCCUGGAUGCACUUGCAGGCUAUGCCUGCCAACGACAAUUUGACUUGAGGGAAAAAACUAGGGGAAAUGUGGCCCACUUGUGGGUGUUAUAGUCCCUUAGAAAAUACCUUGGGUUGGAUUGAGGAACGCAGCGAAUGCUUAUUGGCGAGUUUUCCAGGAAGGUUUUCUGAGGUACUACGGUAUCAAGGUUGAUCUUUUUGGUUAUACUUCUAUUCGCUUAGGUUGUUGGCUUAAUGACUCU
This 626-nucleotide ribosomal RNA is filed under the name Rhizopus arrhizus. RNAcentral describes it as "Rhizopus oryzae partial large subunit ribosomal RNA". It matches the Rfam family "Eukaryotic large subunit ribosomal RNA", at positions 83 to 641 of the family's 3401-position model. Lineage: Eukaryota; Fungi; Mucoromycota; Mucoromycetes; Mucorales; Rhizopodaceae. The record is from RNAcentral.